CCCCGCCUGGGGAGUACGGGUGAGGUAACGGCUCACCAAGGCAUCGACGGGUAGCUGGUCUGAGAGGAUGAUCAGCCACACUGGGACUGAGACACGGCCCAGACUCCUACGGGAGGCAGCAGCAGGGAAUAUUGCGCAAUGAGCGAAAGCUUGACGCAGCGACACCGCGUGUGGGAUGACGGAUCUAGGUUUGUAAACCACUUUCAGGAGGGAAGAAAAUGACGGUACCUCCACAAGAAGCCCCGGCCAACUACGUGCCAGCAGCCGCGGUAAUACGUAGGGGGCGAGCGUUGUCCGGAUUUAUUGGGCGUAAAGAGCUCGUAGGCGGUUCAACAAGUCGGUCGUAAAAGUUCAGGGCUCAACCCCGAAAUGUCGAUCGAUACUGUUGUGACUAGGAUACGGUAGAGGUGAGUGGAAUUCCGAGUGUAGCGGUGAAAUGCGUAGAUAUUCGGAGGAACACCAAUUGCGAAGGCAGCUCACUGGGCCGCUAUCGACGCUGAGGAGCGAAAGCUAGGGGAGCAAACAGGAUUAGAUACCCUGGUAGUCCUAGCUGUAAACGAUGGAUACUAGACGUAGGAACUGGAUUGACGGUUUCUGUGUCGCAGCUAACGCGUUAAGUAUCCCGCCUGGGGAGUACGGAAUCUCGAC
This 648-nucleotide ribosomal RNA is filed under the name uncultured Actinomycetes bacterium. RNAcentral describes it as "bacterial SSU rRNA". It matches the Rfam family "Bacterial small subunit ribosomal RNA", at positions 231 to 899 of the family's 1533-position model. Lineage: Bacteria; Bacillati; Actinomycetota; Actinomycetes. The record is from RNAcentral.